CUGAAAGCAUCUAAGCACGAAACUUGCCCCGAGAUGAGUUCUCCCUGAGACUUUAAGUCUCCUGAAGGAACGUUGAAGACGACGACGUUGAUAGGCCGGGUGUGUAAGCGCAGCGAUGCGUUGAGCUAACCGGUACUAAUGAACCGUGAGGCUUAACCUUACAACGCCGAAG
RNAcentral lists this ribosomal RNA (172 nucleotides) under Klebsiella pneumoniae. Its description in RNAcentral is "partial 23S ribosomal RNA". It matches the Rfam family "Bacterial large subunit ribosomal RNA", at positions 2771 to 2925 of the family's 2925-position model. The record is from RNAcentral. Lineage: Bacteria; Pseudomonadati; Pseudomonadota; Gammaproteobacteria; Enterobacterales; Enterobacteriaceae.